GAUGAACGCUAGCUACAGGCUUAACACAUGCAAGUCGAGGGGAAACGACAUCGAAAGCUUGCUUUUGAUGGGCGUCGACCGGCGCACGGGUGAGUAACGCGUAUCCAACCUGCCCAUCACUUGGGAAUAACCUUGCGAAAGUAAGACUAAUACCCAAUGAUAUCCCACGAAGGCAUCGGAAUGGGAUUAAAGAUUUAUCGGUGAUGGAUGGGGAUGCGUCUGAUUAGCUUGUUGGCGGGGUAACGGCCCACCAAGGCAACGAUCAGUAGGGGUUCUGAGAGGAAGGUCCCCCACAUUGGAACUGGGACACGGUCCAAACUCCUACGGGAGGCAGCAGUGAGGAAUAUUGGGCAAUGGGCGAGAGCCUGAACCAGCCAAGUAGCGUGCAGGAAGACGGCCCUAUGGGUUGUAAACUGCUUUUAUAAGGGAAUAAAGUGGGUCACGUGUGACUUUUUGCAUGUACCUUAUGAAUAAGGACCGGCUAAUUCCGUG
RNAcentral lists this ribosomal RNA (492 nucleotides) under uncultured bacterium. RNAcentral describes it as "partial 16S ribosomal RNA". It matches the Rfam family "Bacterial small subunit ribosomal RNA", at positions 28 to 507 of the family's 1533-position model. The record is from RNAcentral.